GACUCUUUUUGACUAUGUGAACUAAAACAUGAUAAGAAGCUGUCAUUUUAACCCCCACAGUGACAGUUUCCCCACAACUGAAUUCUAAUCUUAAGUGAUGCACUCCCCAGAAUGUUCUGGACAAGGCCUGGUGCCAUCCCUGCUGCAGUCCCUGGAGGGAGAGCAGGGGGUCUCCUCGGGGCCACCGUGGAGUCUCUGGGGCAAGAGGGAGGCUGCCGGGGGGAGGAUGACAGGUCUGCUCACUUGUGGACUGGACACAAUUCCUUCUAGGCUGCCGGGGGAGGAUGACAGGUCUGCUCACUUGUGGACUGGACACAAUUCCUUCUAGGCUGCCGGGGGGAGGAUGACAGGUCUGCUCACUUGUGGACUGGACACAAUUCCUUCUAGGCUGCCGGGGGGAGGAUGACAGGUCUGCUCACUUGUGGACUGGACACAAUUCCUUCUAGGCUGCCCUCUGGAUGUGAAUUCCAGAUGCACAGGUAAUGUAGCAGCAGAAAUUCCUCUGAGAUUAUGUCUGUGUAUAGUUGUGUUGGUUUGAAAAGUGUUUUGGUCAUUUGAGUCUUCAUACUUAGUAAACAAACAAAAAUAAACUGGAAAAAAAUUC
Molecule: long non-coding RNA, 604 nt
Filed under: Homo sapiens (human)
Lineage: Eukaryota; Metazoa; Chordata; Mammalia; Primates; Hominidae
Description: novel transcript
Source: RNAcentral